AACCUGGGGAAACCCAGGCUAAUACCGCAUACGUCCUACGGGAGAAAGGGGGCUCCGGCUCCCGCUAUGGGAUGAGCCUAUGUCGGAUUAGCUAGUUGGUGAGGUAACGGCUCACCAAGGCCACGAUCCGUAGCUGGUCUGAGAGGAUGAUCAGCCACAUCGGGACUGAGACACGGCCCGAACUCCUACGGGAGGCAGCAGUGGGGAAUAUUGGACAAUGGGCGCAAGCCUGAUCCAGCCAUGCCGCGUGUGUGAAGAAGGCCCUCGGGUUGUAAAGCACUUUCAGCGAGGAAGAACGCCUAGCGGUUAAUACCCGCUAGGAAAGACAUCACUCGCAGAAGAAGCACCGGCUAACUCCGUGCCAGCAGCCGCGGUAAUACGGAGGGUGCAAGCGUUAAUCGGAAUUACUGGGCGUAAAGCGCGCGUAGGUGGCUUGAUAAGCCGGUUGUGAAAGCCCCGGGCUCAACCUGGGAACGGCAUCCGGAACUGUCAAGCUAGAGUGCAGGAGAGGAAGGUAGAAUUCCCGGUGUAGCGGUGAAAUGCGUAGAGAUCGGGAGGAAUACCAGUGGCGAAGGCGGCCUUCUGGACUGACACUGACACUGAGGUGCGAAAGCGUGGGUAGCAAACAGGAUUAGAUACCCUGGUAGUCCACGCCGUAAACGAUGUCGACCAGCCGUUGGGUGCCUAGCGCACUUUGUGGCGAAGUUAACGCGAUAAGUCGACCGCCUGGGGAGUACGGCCGCAAGGUUAAAACUCAAAUGAAUUGACGGGGGCCCGCACAAGCGGUGGAGCAUGUGGUUUAAUUCGAUGCAACGCGAAGAAUCUUGCCUACUCUUGACAUCCUGCGAAUUUGGUAGAGAUACCUUAGUGCCUUCGGGAACGCAGAGACAGGUGCUGCAUGGCCGUCGUCAGCUCGUGUUGUGGAAUGUUGGGUUAAGUCCCGUAACGAGCGCAACCCUUGUCCUUAUUUGCCAGCGCGUAAUGGCGGGAACUCUAAGGAGACUGCCGGUGACAAACCGGAGGAAGGUGGGGACGACGUCAAGUCAUCAUGGCCCUUACGAGUAGGGCUACACACGUGCUACAAUGGUCGGUACAAAGGGUUGCCAACUCGCGAGAGUGAGCCAAUCCCGAAAAGCCGAUCUCAGUCCGGAUCGGAGUCUGCAACUCGACUCCGUGAAGUCGGAAUCGCUAGUAAUCGUGGAUCAGAAUGCCACGGUGAAUACGUUCCCGGGCCUUG
RNAcentral lists this ribosomal RNA (1237 nucleotides) under uncultured Halomonas sp. RNAcentral describes it as "bacterial SSU rRNA". It matches the Rfam family "Bacterial small subunit ribosomal RNA", at positions 145 to 1383 of the family's 1533-position model. The record is from RNAcentral. Lineage: Bacteria; Pseudomonadati; Pseudomonadota; Gammaproteobacteria; Oceanospirillales; Halomonadaceae.